Molecule: long non-coding RNA, 350 nt
Organism: Lemur catta (Ring-tailed lemur)
Lineage: Eukaryota; Metazoa; Chordata; Mammalia; Primates; Lemuridae
Exons: 3
Source: RefSeq, a predicted model, not a curated record
AGUGGAUUGUGUUCCUGGCUAUUCUAGCUUGGACUACAUUUCUUUCAGGCGACGGAGCAAACUUGAACCUUUUGCUCAGUUUCGGCAUCCCUGGUUGCGCGCUGCGCGUGCCCUGGUCCCACCUGAGGAAGAAGCCGGCGUGGGUCGCUGCGGGAAAGACUGCAGCCCUGGACUGCAGCCCGCGCGGGCACCUGCGUGGCGCUCUGGCUUUCUGGAUCUGUGCUUUUCUGGCAGAGGAGCCCUGAGGACUUAUCCACUUUUGCAGAUCUAAAACCAUGGCCCAUGGAUCAAUAACAUUUGAAGAUGUGGCCAUAGACUUCUCACAGCAGGAGUGGGAAUAUCUUAACCCU